AAAGAUACAUACGAUCUUACA
This 21-nucleotide microRNA is filed under the name Caenorhabditis elegans. RNAcentral describes it as "cel-miR-787-5p". Its record names the gene cel-miR-787-5p. Lineage: Eukaryota; Metazoa; Nematoda; Chromadorea; Rhabditida; Rhabditidae. The record is from miRBase by way of RNAcentral.